GACGAACGCUGGCGGCGUGCUUAACACAUGCAAGUCGAACGGGCCUGUCUUCUUUUUUGGGGGGUGGGUUGAGUGGCGAACGGGUGAGUAUCACGUGAGUAACCUGCCCUUCGGUCCUGGAUAACCGCUUGAAAGGGCGGCUAAUACGGGGUGGUCCGGUUGGUCCGCAUGGGCUGGUCGGGAUAGAUUCACUGUUUUUGGUGUUUCGGCGGGGGAUGGGCUCGCGGCCUAUCAGCUUGUUGGUGGGGUGCUGGCCUACCAAGGCGGUGACGGGUAGCCGGCCUGAGAGUGUGGGCGGCCACACUGGGACUGGGAUACGGCCCAGACUCCUGCGGGAGGCAGCAGUGGGGGGUAUUGCACAAUGGGCGGAAGCCUGAUGCAGCGACGUCGCGUGAGGGAUGGAGGCCUUCGGGUUGUGAACCUCUGUUUCCGGUGGUGAAGGCCCUGUCCGUGUGGUGGGGUUGACGGUAGCCGGGGAUGAAGCGCCGGCUAACUACGUG
This 500-nucleotide ribosomal RNA is filed under the name uncultured bacterium. Its description in RNAcentral is "partial 16S ribosomal RNA". It matches the Rfam family "Bacterial small subunit ribosomal RNA", at positions 28 to 507 of the family's 1533-position model. The record is from RNAcentral.